GCGUACCUACGGGGCGCAGCAGUGGGGAAUAUUGCACAAUGGGGGAAACCCUGAUGCAGCAACGCCGCGUGAAGGAAGACGGUUUUCGGAUUGUAAACUUCUGUUCUUAGUGAAGAAAAAUGACGGUAGCUAGGGAGCAAGCCACGGCUAACUACGUGCCAGCAGCCGCGGUAAUACGUAGGUGGCAAGCGUUGUCCGGAAUUACUGGGUGUAAAGGGAGCGCAGGCGGGAAGCCAAGUCAGCUGUGAAAACUACGGGCUUAACUUGUAGCCUGCAGUUGAAACUGGUUUUCUUGUGU
RNAcentral lists this ribosomal RNA (298 nucleotides) under uncultured bacterium. RNAcentral describes it as "partial 16S ribosomal RNA". It matches the Rfam family "Bacterial small subunit ribosomal RNA", at positions 331 to 647 of the family's 1533-position model. The record is from RNAcentral.